This 285-nucleotide unclassified non-coding RNA is filed under the name plant metagenome. RNAcentral describes it as "partial contains small subunit ribosomal RNA, internal transcribed spacer 1, and 5.8S ribosomal RNA". The stretch from base 1 to 54 matches the Rfam family "Eukaryotic small subunit ribosomal RNA", at positions 1778 to 1831 of the family's 1831-position model. The record is from RNAcentral.
GGAAGUAAAAAUCGUAACAAGGUAUCCGUAGGUGAACCUGCGGAAGGAUCAUUAUUGUAUAACCGAGGUGCGAGGGCUGUCGCUGACCCGAAAGGUCGUGCACGCCCGAGUGCCCUCACACACAUCCAUCUCACCCCUAUGUGCACCACCGCGUGGGUCCCCCUUUGGCUUGUUCGGAGGGGGGCUUACGUUUUCACACAAACUUUGUAUGCAGUGUAGAAUGUAUUUUUUGUUUUUGCGAUCACGCAAUCAAUACAACUUUCAACAACGGAUCUCUUGGCUCUC